Molecule: long non-coding RNA, 1214 nt
Organism: Helicoverpa zea (corn earworm)
Lineage: Eukaryota; Metazoa; Arthropoda; Insecta; Lepidoptera; Noctuidae
Exons: 2
Source: RefSeq, a predicted model, not a curated record
GGCGCUUAAUAUGAGAUAGCAAGGUAUUAGUCAAACUAUUCACGUCAGUCAUUUGGCGCUAGUGUCACGCGAUCAUCACAGCAACACCGCUAAACGUCUGCCAGUGCGUGCCAGUGUAUAAAACGUAGUGAUUAUAUCGUGGGUUAAGAACUAGAGUAGCGUAAGGGCAAAAAUACAAAAAAAAAAUUUUUUUCACCAUGCGUUUAUUUAAUCCCCAUAUUUUUAUGUGCCAGAAAACUGGAUCGAUGUAGUGUGUUGAUUGCUUAGUACAACAAUAACGUAUAUAAAAAAAAGAUAUUUGUUUAUUGCCAAAAUGAAGUGUUUCUGCUUACAACAAUCUUGACAUUAUUUUCUCAAAAAAAUUACGAGCACAACGAUCGUAACUCGAUUUGCAGAGCGAAUAAGACACCAAAAUAUGCCUUCAAUGUAAUCGCUUAAAUAACGUAUCUUGCCAUACGUUAAUAGCGCAGAAAGUUUGAUUAUGUAAGCUUAGUUUGUUUCGUGCCAAAUAAACGUAAAGUACCGUUACUGUCCUUGUUUCGUAAGCUUCCGUAAUUUUUCUUCCUGCCAAAAAAACGUAAGGGUGGGAUACGCUACUAUGGCACUAAUUUAUGGAAGAGCUAAAAUGACGUAUGUCAACCAGUUUUUGAAAAAUAAAUUUUAUUAAAAUGAAACCAUAUUUUGAUUGACCAAAAAGUUACAUUAUUCUGUAGCCGAUAAAUAAAGUUUUAUUAUUAGUAAAAAUCAGAUAUCUAACUACUAUAGAUUUACCCCACAAAAAGGGCUAUAAGAUAACAGUAGGUAAAUUUGAGUUGUUUUCGGGCUCUCCUGAGAAGUUGUCAUUUUGGCCUUACGCUACUCUAGUUCUUAACCCUCGAUAUACUCUCUGGUGCGUGCCGGCCACCGGCGAUAGAAGUACGUGUGCGUGUAGUUAUUACAUUUUCGUAAAACAAAAUAUUUUUCGUCAAAUGUUUACAAGAUGCCUCCCAUCAAAAGGAAGACAUGGGACCAUAAUGCCAUGAUACAAACUGUGAAUGCAGUUCGAAGAAACGAAAUGGGUUACUUAAGAGCUAAAAAAGAUUUGAAAAAGAAAAGAGUUGCAGAAGUUAGUUUCAGUUCCGAAGACGAUGACAUGUCUGAGCUCGCGGAUAGCAGUGGGGAUGAGUAUGAUGUUGAAUGUCCCUACUGCAGCGGAAACUUUUCACAAGAUACAA